This 531-nucleotide ribosomal RNA is filed under the name uncultured bacterium. RNAcentral describes it as "bacterial SSU rRNA". It matches the Rfam family "Bacterial small subunit ribosomal RNA", at positions 772 to 1302 of the family's 1533-position model. The record is from RNAcentral.
ACUGAAUAGAUACCCCGGUAGUCCACGCCGUAAACGAUGAGCACUAGUUAUUGGGGGUAUUGACUCCCUCAGUGACGCAGCUAACGCAUUAAGUGCUCCGCCUGGGGAGUACGGUCGCAAGACUAAAACUCAAACAAAUUGACGGGGGCCCGCACAAGCGGUGGAUUAUGUGGUUUAAUUCGAAGCAACGCGCAGAACCUUACCUAGGCUUGAACUCCUACGAACCUCUUGUAAUGGAGAGGGUGUCCGCAAGGAAAUGUAGUGAGAGGUGCUGCAUGGCUGUCGUCAGCUCGUGUUGUGAAAUGUUGGGUUAAGUCUCGCAACGAGCGCAACCCCUAUCGUCUGUUGCCAGCAUUAAGUUGGGCACUCUGACGAGACUGCCUGGGUUAACCAGGAGGAAGGUGGGGAUGACGUCAAGUCCUCAUGGCCCUUAUGUCUAGGGCUACACACGUAAUACAAUGGCGCGUACAGAGGGAAGCGAACUAGCAAUAGGGAGCAAAUCUCAAAAAGCGCGCCUCAGUUCGGAUUGGA